This 186-nucleotide ribosomal RNA is filed under the name uncultured Bacteroidota bacterium. RNAcentral's name for it is "uncultured Bacteroidetes bacterium partial 16S ribosomal RNA". The record is from RNAcentral. Lineage: Bacteria; Pseudomonadati; Bacteroidota.
GGACCUUCCUCUCAGAACCCCUAUCCAUCGUCGGUUUGGUGGGCCGUUACCCCGCCAACUGCCUAAUGGAACGCAUGCCUAUCUAUCAGCGAUGAAUCUUUAGCAAAUAUUCCCAUGCGGGAUCCCUGCUUCAUGCGGUAUUAGUCCGACUUUCGCCGGGUUAUCCCCCUCUGAUAGGCAAGUUGC